This 254-nucleotide ribosomal RNA is filed under the name uncultured bacterium. RNAcentral describes it as "partial 16S ribosomal RNA". It matches the Rfam family "Bacterial small subunit ribosomal RNA", at positions 524 to 776 of the family's 1533-position model. The record is from RNAcentral.
UACAGAGGUCUCAAGCGUUGUUCGGAUUCAUUGGGCGUAAAGGGUGUGUAGGUGGCGCGCUAAGUCGGGGUGUGAAAUUUCGGAGCUUAACUCCGAAACUGCAUUCGAUACUGGCGUGCUUGAGGACUGGAGAGGAGACUGGAAUUCAUGGUGUAGCAGUGAAAUGCGUAGAGAUCAUGAGGAAGACCAGUGGCGAAGGCGGCCAACUGGACGAGUACUGACGCUGAGACACGAAAGCGUGGGGAGCAAACAGG